UCUGGAAAGAUCACGUGUAGAGUUUUUACUUUAUAUGAUGUUAUCUGGUCUUCAGGUACGAGAGCAUGCUGCAUAUUUUCUGGAGGAGAUUAAUAUUUGCUGCAGAUUUUCGUGAUAGAUCCUAUUCAGAGGCAAACUCAAUCCAAAAGAGAAGAAACCGGAGGUAAAUCAAGUUCAACUCAGUCCAUUGCAAAGGUGCAUGCAGCCGUUCUUGGCUUGGUAGCUUCAGUUUUGUCUGUUCCUUAUGACAUACCCAGCUGGUUGCCGGAUCAUGUGACGUUACUGGCUCAUUUUGCUGGUGAACGUAUAAAAUCGAGUGUGACUAAAGCAGUAGCUGAGUUCCGGCGAACAUCCAGGAAGACUCUUCCACUGAAAAACAGCUUGAGGUAAUGAGUUUGGAAUUUACAUAUUAAUGCAUAUAUAAGGAAAUUUCUAAAUAUAUACGUCUUUAUCAAACAAGUUGGGAAUACAAAUAUACAAUAAUAGGAAUCACAACUUUGUAACUCCA
Long non-coding RNA from Camelina sativa (false flax), 508 nucleotides. RefSeq lists it as uncharacterized. NCBI's taxonomy places the organism in Eukaryota, Viridiplantae, Streptophyta, Magnoliopsida, Brassicales, Brassicaceae. The record is from RefSeq and is a predicted model, not a curated record.